RNAcentral lists this unclassified non-coding RNA (387 nucleotides) under soil metagenome. RNAcentral describes it as "partial contains 5.8S ribosomal RNA, internal transcribed spacer 2, and large subunit ribosomal RNA". The stretch from base 1 to 120 matches the Rfam family "5.8S ribosomal RNA", at positions 35 to 154 of the family's 154-position model. The record is from RNAcentral.
GAUGAAGAACGUAGCGAAAUGCGAUAAGUAAUGUGAAUUGCAGAAUUCAGUGAAUCAUCGAAUCUUUGAACGCACCUUGCACCCUUUGGUAUUCCGAAGGGUAUGCUCGUUUGAGUGUCAUUGUACUCUCACACUUCUAAUUCCUUUCGGGAUUGGGAGCGGUGGACUUGGGUGUUGCUGCUUUAGUUGUGGCUCACCUCAAAUAAGUUAGUGCAACUCUUGGUUGGACAUAGUACGGCGUGAUAAGUGUCUUCGCCGGCGCCUCUGUAAGGAGGGUGGCCGAUCGGGAGCUCUGUGCUUCAAACCGUCUUCGGACAAUCUUUGACAACUUGACCUCAAAUCGAGUAGGACUACCCGCUGAACUUAAGCAUAGCAAUAAGCGGAGGA